This 241-nucleotide long non-coding RNA is filed under the name Medicago truncatula (barrel medic). RNAcentral describes it as "lncRNA gene3421". Lineage: Eukaryota; Viridiplantae; Streptophyta; Magnoliopsida; Fabales; Fabaceae. The record is from RNAcentral.
GAUGAAGAAUUCCCUCCACUGCAACUGUUACGGCCAUAUAUAUCACUCUACUACAGAUGGCUGUAGGAGCCUUUGUACUUAGUACUAGCUAGCUAUAUUUUUUUAACCCUAGACUUAGGUUUUUGUCAAGCUGUGAUUAUGCAAACAAUCCAUUAGUUAUAAGCUAUAAUAGCUUGUAUAUGGUAGACAAUUUCCAAGAUUGUAAAGGUGUUAAGUGAUUAGUAAAGAAGUUGAGGCUAAC